GGGAGUAUAGCUCAGCGGGAGAGCAUUCGCUUCACACGCGAAGGGUCACAAGUUCAAUCCUUGUUACUCCCACCA
RNAcentral lists this transfer RNA (75 nucleotides) under Devosia neptuniae. RNAcentral's name for it is "tRNA-Val". It matches the Rfam family "tRNA". From Rfam's summary of the family: Transfer RNA (tRNA) molecules are approximately 80 nucleotides in length. Their secondary structure includes four short double-helical elements and three loops (D, anti-codon, and T loops). Lineage: Bacteria; Pseudomonadati; Pseudomonadota; Alphaproteobacteria; Hyphomicrobiales; Devosiaceae. RNAcentral also lists the same sequence under 50 other names. The record is from RNAcentral.